CUCCUCACGAGGCAGCUCUUGGUCCCCUGCUAUUAUCUCAUAGAGCAAUAUUGUACUGCUACCACAAGUUAUUGCGUAAUAGCAAUCAUGGCUUCCAGUAUAUCUCCCAUGUAGUUACCACACACUUAACACAAAAUAGUACAUUUUAUUUUGUGGUAAUCCAGUAAAUGAAUCACACUGCCAGGCUCCAGGCCGUGCAGAAGACCAGGCCUGCAUAUCAGAGGUAUAAGGCAUCUGGUGCUUUUUGUGGAAAAAAGCCCAUCUGAUAAGUGCACAAUAUUCUUCCACAAGUGUUCUUUUCUUCUUCUGCAGCUUAAAACAGCCAUCUCAAUUUUAGUUUAACCUGUUAGCUACUGCAGACAUAGACAAGGCUCCCAUUUACCAAAUUUACAUUACAUAACAUACUGACACUCCAUGACUUUCAAAGCCAUGUUAUGUAAAAUUAUUAAACUUAUAGGUAAAUAUAUUAUUAAUUCAACAGCCAGCUCUCCUUGGAUGAAAUGAAAGAAAAGAUAUUUUUUGUGUUUUUGUGUGUACUGAUCCCUCUGUUUUAGUAGAUAGAGGGAUAUUUUUAUAUUCCCAUGUAUUUCCUCAUCAGUUUAUUUUCCUGGUUCCAGUGGUGAUCCUUCAGCACUUGGGAGCUAAACGAUGAGACAGCCAGCAAAUUGUCUUGAGAUUUGUGGACACUUUGGAUCGUUGAAGAAUUGCUCAUCAUAAAUGAAGCCUAGUUUAAGACAAUGAAGAGGAUACUUCUGAAAAAGGUGUUUUCCACACCUCUCAGCUCUCAGUUUCUAAAAAUGAGGCCCCUGGUUUCUUGGAAGUGAGGGAGUGCAGCACUGAGAAGCAACGGGAAGAUGUCCUACACAUGGAGCGAUAGGCAGAUGCAGCUGCUCUAGGAUCCUCUGGUCAUCUGUUUUCAUUAAAACUUCACUUGUGCAUUUGACCUACCAGCUGGAUUCAGCAUAUGUCACUGGUAAAGGGCCAUAACAUCCCAGUGAAGUGCAAGUGGAAAGAGGGAAAGAUUGAACAUUGAAAAUCACGAACAACAUUUACAUGAAACACUAGCUGCCACUAGCUUCACAUUCAUCUGUCAGGUGAUCAAAAUCUCAAUCUGAAUUUUUAGUCUGAACAUUUUUCUUCCUGUGGUCUCUUUACAACAAAAUUGCAUCCUCUUCCUUUCUGCGGCCUUCAGAUCAGUCUUUGCAACUUCUAAGUGACGGAUGAAGGAAAUCCUUAUUGCUUGAAGCAGCUCUACCUAUUUAUAUGAACCUGCCACGUGGUUUCCUAAAAUAUGAACUGACAAGGCCAUUCGUCUCUGAAAUGCUGCUGAAGAUGGUUUCAGAACUGGAGUGAUGAAGCCUGGUCGUAAUAGCUGCUGUCUCUUUCUUGUUGCCUCGUGUGCCAAGGUGUCCCAAAGCACAGCUGUGAAACAAAGUACCGUGGAAUAUUCCUUGAGAAUUCUACCCAGAUGUGAAAAGAAUAAGUGCAUUUUUUAAAAUAGAUUUUAAGUUAAGCUGUUCAGCCUGAAAAUGUCAAAUAUGAAGAAGUGAUACUUUUGCUUAAUGUAAAACUGAAUCACUUCUUUAAUACGUAUAGCAUCUGAGUGAUUUAGUUAAGCUAUAUUAAAUUACAAUUCUGUUCUUGUUUUCUUGAUUAUAUUCAGAAUUACAAACUUCAGAUCUAUUGUUGUUAAAUAGGGAUAUUUUUCACUGUUCAGGUAUGAAUAUUUAAACAGUGCUAAAUUUCGAGGUAUACAGAUGAGCUAAUUUGAAAUUUUAAAUGAAUUAAAAGUUCAAUUUC
Molecule: long non-coding RNA, 1800 nt
Organism: Gallus gallus (chicken)
Lineage: Eukaryota; Metazoa; Chordata; Aves; Galliformes; Phasianidae
Source: Ensembl